Molecule: small RNA, 72 nt
Filed under: Xanthomonas phaseoli pv. phaseoli
Lineage: Bacteria; Pseudomonadati; Pseudomonadota; Gammaproteobacteria; Lysobacterales; Lysobacteraceae
Also listed under: 3 other names
Description: sX9 sRNA
Rfam family: Xanthomonas sRNA sX9
Source: RNAcentral
AUGUACCGCGCGUACCCCGGUUUCUCCGCGACGUCCACACCACCUGACGACUGCUCGCUACGUUUGUUAGCC